This 499-nucleotide ribosomal RNA is filed under the name uncultured Glomeromycotina. RNAcentral describes it as "partial small subunit ribosomal RNA". It matches the Rfam family "Eukaryotic small subunit ribosomal RNA", at positions 591 to 1092 of the family's 1831-position model. The record is from RNAcentral. Lineage: Eukaryota; Fungi; Glomeromycota.
CCAAUAGCGUAUAUUAAAGUUGUUGCAGUUAAAAAGCUCGUAGUUGAACUUCGGGAUCAAUUGAUUGGUCAUGCCUUGGUAUGUACUGUUCAUAUUGGUUCUCACCUUCUAAUGAACCAUAAUGUCAUUUAUUUGAUGUUAUGGGGAAUUAGGACUGUUACCUUGAAAAAAUUAGAGUGUUUAAAGCAGGCUCACGCUUGAAUACAUUAGCAUGGAAUAAUGAAAUAGGACAUCGCAUUCUAUUUUGUUGGUUUCUAGGAUCGAUGUAAUGUUUAAUAGGGAUAGUUGGGGGCAUUAGUAUUCAAUUGUCAGAGGUGAAAUUCUUGGAUUUAUUGAAGACUAACUACUGCGAAAGCAUUUGCCAAGGAUGUUUUCAUUAAUCAAGAACGAAAGUUAGGGGAUCGAAGACGAUCAGAUACCGUCGUAGUCUUAACCAUAAACUAUGCCGACUAGGGAUCGGAUGAUGUUGAUUUUUUAAUGACUCAUUCGGCACCUUACG